This 85-nucleotide transfer RNA is filed under the name Felis catus (domestic cat). It matches the Rfam family "tRNA". Rfam says of the family: Transfer RNA (tRNA) molecules are approximately 80 nucleotides in length. Their secondary structure includes four short double-helical elements and three loops (D, anti-codon, and T loops). Lineage: Eukaryota; Metazoa; Chordata; Mammalia; Carnivora; Felidae. The record is from Rfam by way of RNAcentral. RNAcentral also lists the same sequence under 4 other names.
GCCUGGGUGGCUCAGUUGGUUGGGCGUCUGACUUCAGCUCAGGUCAUGAUCUCAUGGUUUGUGGGUUUGAGCCCUGCAUCAGGCU